GGGAGGUCAGGCGUCGUAGGGCAAUAGUUCUGCGGUUGUCGGCUUCUCUUACCUGUCUGGCAUUGCCCUCGUUGGUGGUGCUAGGCUCGUUUACUGUGAAAAAAUUAGAGUGUUCAAAGCAGGCUUACGCUGUGAAUACAUUAGCAUGGAAUAAUAGAAUAGGACUUUGGUUCUAUUUUGUUGGUUUCUAGGACCGAAGUA
This 201-nucleotide ribosomal RNA is filed under the name uncultured fungus. RNAcentral describes it as "partial small subunit ribosomal RNA". The stretch from base 72 to 201 matches the Rfam family "Eukaryotic small subunit ribosomal RNA", at positions 733 to 864 of the family's 1831-position model. The record is from RNAcentral. Lineage: Eukaryota; Fungi.